AGAGUUUGAUCAUGGCUCAGGACGAACGCUGGCGGCGCGCCUAACACAUGCAAGUCGAACGAGCGAGAGAGAGCUUGCUUUCUCGAGCGAGUGGCGAACGGGUGAGUAACGCGUGAGGAACCUGCCUCAGAGAGGGGGACAACAGUUGGAAACGACUGCUAAUACCGCAUAAGCCCACGGGUCGGCAUCGACCAGAGGGAAAAGGAGCAAUCCGCUUUGAGAUGGCCUCGCGUCCGAUUAGCUAGUUGGUGAGGUAACGGCCCACCAAGGCGACGAUCGGUAGCCGGACUGAGAGGUUGAACGGCCACAUUGGGACUGAGACACGGCCCAGACUCCUACGGGAGGCAGCAGUGGGGAAUAUUGCACAAUGGGGGAAACCCUGAUGCAGCGACGCCGCGUGGAGGAAGAAGGUCUUCGGAUUGUAAACUCCUGUUGUUGAGGAAAAUAAUGACGGUACUCAACAAGGAAGUGACGGCUAACUACGUGCCAGCAGCCGCGGUAAAACGUAGGUCACAAGCGUUGUCCGGAAUUACUGGGUGUAAAGGGAGCGCAGGCGGGAAGACAAGUUGGAAGUGAAAUCCAUGGGCUUAACCCAUGAACUGCUUUCAAAACUGUUUUUCUUGAGUAGUGCAGAGGUAGGCGGAAUUCCCGGUGUAGCGGUGGAAUGCGUAGAUAUCGGGAGGAACACCAGUGGCGAAGGCGGCCUACUGGGCACCAACUGACGCUGAGGCUCGAAAGUGUGGGUAGCAAACAGGAUUAGAUACCCUGGUAGUCCACACCGUAAACGAUGAUUACUAGGUGCUGGAGGAUUGACCCCUUCAGUGCCGCAGUUAACACAAUAAGUAAUCCACCUGGGGAGUACGACCGCAAGGUUGAAACUCAAAGGAAUUGACGGGGGCCCGCACAAGCAGUGGAGUAUGUGGUUUAAUUCGACGCAACGCGAAGAACCUUACCAAGUCUUGACAUCCUGUGACAGACGUAGAAAUACGUUCUUCCUUCGGGACACAGAGACAGGUGGUGCAUGGUUGUCGUCAGCUCGUGUCGUGAGAUGUUGGGUUAAGUCCCGCAACGAGCGCAACCCUUAUGGUCAGUUACUGCGCAAGAGGACUCUGGCCAGACUGCCGUUGACAAAACGGAGGAAGGUGGGGAUGACGUCAAAUCAUCAUGCCCUUUAUGGCUUGGGCUACACACGUACUACAAUGGCGUUAAACAAAGAGAAGCAAGACCGCGAGGUGGAGCAAAACUCAGAAACAACGUCCCAGUUCGGACUGCAGGCUGCAACUCGCCUGCACGAAGUCGGAAUUGCUAGUAAUCGUGGAUCAGCAUGCCACGGUGAAUACGUUCCCGGGCCUUGUACACACCGCCCGUCACACCAUGAGAGCCGGGGGGACCCGAAGUCGGUAGUCUAA
This 1409-nucleotide ribosomal RNA is filed under the name metagenome. Its description in RNAcentral is "bacterial SSU rRNA". It matches the Rfam family "Bacterial small subunit ribosomal RNA". The record is from RNAcentral.